This 803-nucleotide ribosomal RNA is filed under the name uncultured bacterium. RNAcentral's name for it is "bacterial SSU rRNA". It matches the Rfam family "Bacterial small subunit ribosomal RNA", at positions 8 to 822 of the family's 1533-position model. The record is from RNAcentral.
AGAGUUUGAUCCUGGCUCAGGAUGAACGCUGGCGGCGUGCUUAACACAUGCAAGUCGAACGGACUUAGAAUGAAACCUAGUGAUUUUUAAGUUAGUGGCGGACGGGUGAGUAACGCGUGGGUAACCUGCCAUGUACAGGGGGAUAACAGCUAGAAAUAACUGCUAAUACCGCAUAAGCGCACGGUGUCGCAUGACACAGUGCGAAAAACUCCGGUGGUACAUGAUGGACCCGCGUCUGAUUAGCUGGUUGGUGGGGUAACGGCCCACCAAGGCGACGAUCAGUAGCCGGCCUGAGAGGGUGAACGGCCACAUUGGGACUGAGACACGGCCCAAACUCCUACGGGAGGCAGCAGUGGGGAAUAUUGCACAAUGGGGGAAACCCUGAUGCAGCGACGCCGCGUGAGUGAAGAAGUAUUUCGGUAUGUAAAGCUCUAUCAGCAGGAAAGAAAAUGACGGUACCUGACUAAGAAGCCCCGGCUAACUACGUGCCAGCAGCCGCGGUAAUACGUAGGGGGCAAGCGUUAUCCGGAUUUACUGGGUGUAAAGGGAACGUAGACGGCUGUGCAAGUCUGAAGUGAAAGCCCGGGGCUCAACCCCGGGACUGCUUUGGAAACUGUGCAGCUAGAGUGUCGGAGAGGUAAGCGGAAUUCCUAGUGUAGCGGUGAAAUGCGUAAAUAUUAGGAGGAACACCAGUGGCGAAGGCGGCUUACUGGACGAUAACUGACGUUGAGGCUCGAAAGCGUGGGGAGCAAACAGGAUUAGAUACCCUGGUAGUCCACGCCGUAAACGAUGACUCCUAGGUG